GUGAAUCAUCGAAUUUUUGAACGCAAAUUGCACUCUCUGCGGAGAGUAUGCGUGUUUGAGGGUCAGCCUAUAAAAAAUCGAAAUCGUUUCUGUUUCGCGGCGGUGUUCGUCGGAAAUUGGGUUAUCUUAAAUCUUUUGGUUUUAAGGGAAGUAAAAUUUUCUUAUUGGUUCUAUGAAAGUUUUUAAGAUUUAUUUAUUUACAUGUUUAAGGUAUCGAU
Molecule: unclassified non-coding RNA, 218 nt
Filed under: Glomus sp.
Lineage: Eukaryota; Fungi; Glomeromycota; Glomeromycetes; Glomerales; Glomeraceae
Description: partial contains 5.8S ribosomal RNA and internal transcribed spacer 2
Rfam family: 5.8S ribosomal RNA (bases 1-65)
Source: RNAcentral